RNAcentral lists this ribosomal RNA (556 nucleotides) under Nigrospora sp. SGSGf05. Its description in RNAcentral is "eukaryotic LSU rRNA". It matches the Rfam family "Eukaryotic large subunit ribosomal RNA", at positions 66 to 647 of the family's 3401-position model. The record is from RNAcentral. Lineage: Eukaryota; Fungi; Ascomycota; Sordariomycetes; Amphisphaeriales; Apiosporaceae.
CAACAGGGAUUCCCCUAGUAACGGCGAGUGAAGCGGGACAGCUCAAAUUUGAAAUCUGGCCCUCGGGUCCGAGUUGUAAUUUGUAGAGGAUGCUUUUGGUGCGGUGCCUUCCGAGUUCCCUGGAACGGGACGCCUUAGAGGGUGAGAGCCCCGUACGGUUGGACGCCUAGCCUCUGUAAAGCUCCUUCGACGAGUCGAGUAGUUUGGGAAUGCUGCUCUAAAUGGGAGGUAUAUUUCUUCUAAAGCUAAAUACUGGCCAGAGACCGAUAGCGCACAAGUAGAGUGAUCGAAAGAUGAAAAGCACUUUGAAAAGAGGGUUAAAUAGCACGUGAAAUUGUUGAAAGGGAAGCGUUUAUCACCAGACUUUUUCUGGGGGGAUCAUCCGGUGUUCUCACCGGUGCACUUCCCCCAGUUGAGGCCAGCAUCGGUUUUCGGAGGGGGAUAAAAGCUUCGGGAAUGUGACUCCCUCGGGAGUGUUAUAGCCCGUUGCAUAAUACCCUUCUGGGGACCGAGGUUCGCGCAUCUGCAAGGAUGCUGGCAUAAUGGUGAUCAACGA